GCCCUUUUCUCCCCCAAUGAACACAUCAUGUAAUUUUUAUGCAGUUUGUACUCAUAUUACGAAGACACUCUACAGAAAAACAAUUAUGCUGACAUACCUGAGUUCUCUUCCUUGACAUUUUACAGAAGCAUACCAUUUUUUUUUUUCAGGUUGCAAGUGACUUCAGAGACCACUGUGGCUCAUCCUUUAUGGUUACUUAGGAAGAGACGAUGGCACCAACAAUGUGUUCCUCUGUCUGAAAGACAUAAUUGCUUGAUGGAAGAAUAGUCUGUUCGACUCCUGGGUGUGAUGGAAGUGAUGCUGGCUGCAUAAGA
Molecule: long non-coding RNA, 314 nt
Filed under: Anser brachyrhynchus (Pink-footed goose)
Lineage: Eukaryota; Metazoa; Chordata; Aves; Anseriformes; Anatidae
Description: lncRNA (ENSABRG00000002818.1)
Source: RNAcentral